This 501-nucleotide ribosomal RNA is filed under the name Alteromonas sp. WH103. RNAcentral describes it as "bacterial SSU rRNA". It matches the Rfam family "Bacterial small subunit ribosomal RNA", at positions 90 to 593 of the family's 1533-position model. Lineage: Bacteria; Pseudomonadati; Pseudomonadota; Gammaproteobacteria; Alteromonadales; Alteromonadaceae. The record is from RNAcentral.
GACGAGUGGCGGACGGGUGAGUAAUGCUUGGGAACUUGCCUUUGCGAGGGGGAUAACAGUUGGAAACGACUGCUAAUACCGCAUAAUGUCUUCGGACCAAACGGGGCUUCGGCUCCGGCGCAAAGAGAGGCCCAAGUGAGAUUAGCUAGUUGGUAAGGUAACGGCUUACCAAGGCGACGAUCUCUAGCUGUUCUGAGAGGAAGAUCAGCCACACUGGGACUGAGACACGGCCCAGACUCCUACGGGAGGCAGCAGUGGGGAAUAUUGCACAAUGGGGGAAACCCUGAUGCAGCCAUGCCGCGUGUGUGAAGAAGGCCUUCGGGUUGUAAAGCACUUUCAGUUGUGAGGAAAAGUUAGUAGUUAAUACCUGCUAGCCGUGACGUUAACAACAGAAGAAGCACCGGCUAACUCCGUGCCAGCAGCCGCGGUAAUACGGAGGGUGCGAGCGUUAAUCGGAAUUACUGGGCGUAAAGCGCACGCAGGCGGUUUGUUAAGCUAGAU